RNAcentral lists this ribosomal RNA (366 nucleotides) under uncultured bacterium. RNAcentral describes it as "bacterial SSU rRNA". It matches the Rfam family "Bacterial small subunit ribosomal RNA", at positions 794 to 1158 of the family's 1533-position model. The record is from RNAcentral.
UCCACGCCGUAAACGAUGUCAACUAGCCGUUGGGUCUAUUUAUAGACUUAGUGGCGGAGCUAACGUAUUAAGUUGACCGCCUGGGGAGUACGGCCGCAAGGUUAAAACUCAAAUGAAUUGACGGGGGCCCGCACAAGCGGUGGAGCAUGUGGUUUAAUUCGAUGCAACGCGAAGAACCUUACCUACCCUUGACAUGUAGUGAACUUACCAGAGAUGGUUUGGUGCCUUCGGGAACACUAACACAGGUGCUGCAUGGCUGUCGUCAGCUCGUGUCGUGAGAUGUUGGGUUAAGUCCCGUAACGAGCGCAACCCUUAUCCUUAGUUGCUAGCAGGUAAUGCUGAGAACUCUAGGGAGACUGCCAGUGA